Long non-coding RNA from Daphnia magna, 1626 nucleotides. RefSeq lists it as uncharacterized. Lineage: Eukaryota; Metazoa; Arthropoda; Branchiopoda; Diplostraca; Daphniidae. The transcript has 5 exons. The record is from RefSeq and is a predicted model, not a curated record.
GCAAAUGUAUUCUGCAGUCCACGUUCCGCAUUUUAUGGUCGUCGCUGGGUGUUUUCCGUUUUCCAUAAUAUACUAUGCAUAUUACUGUGCACAAAGGAUGCUUUGAUUGUUUUGCUGUAGGUUGGUAUCCAUUCCUGUUGAUUCUGGGGAACUCCGUUUUCAGUACUUCAAACUACGUUGAUGUUUUCUUGCAGUAUGGGAUAACUUUUUAUACAGUUGUUUUGGAAUCGUGACACUAAUACCUGCAGAAACUGUGCACAGCUUUUUGGAAUUGUUAUUCUGGCAUAAAAUUUAAUCGCAUCAUCUGAGAGGUAAGAUUGAAGUUGACAAAAUAAUUGUUAUAUUAUGUUGAUUAUAAAAGAAAUAGGUCGUUAGCUCACUAUAUAUAUUAGUGAACUACUCUGAUGAAUGAUACAAUACAGGUGCUGGCAUGCUAUCCAAGGCAAACUUAGGGCUAAACACUAAUCGAGGUAAGUUUUUUAUAAAACUUUGUUAUUUAGAACUUGUGUGUGAUUGUAAGAUAUAGUAAUUAGUGUAUAUUUACAAAUUUAUUAUAGCCCCAACACAAUAGCUUCGUGUCAUGCAAUCCAUAUUUAGAAAGAUCUGCUAUGGCAUGUCUGUUGUGCUUGGGUUAGUUGUCACCGAUAAAGAUUACAGGCUAACUGAUGAAGUUAAAAUUGUGGAAUGUACAAUCAAAUAUGAAUGUAGAUUUCACUACUAAAUUUUUAGUUUUUGGCUAUGGGCUACAAUUUAAAUUAUCUAUAUGGUGGAUAUUCUGUUGAUGAUUGUAUCUAUUAAUGAAAUAGUUCUUCGUUAUACGUAUUUCAUUUUGUAUUUAUUACUUAUACAAUUUAAACUAAUGAAUUAUUUGUUAAUUGUUACAUUUCUUGUUUGGGACAAAUUAUAAACAAUCUCAGAAAACAUUUGUUUUUGCAGCGCUAGAAGUUUUCAUUUUCAUUUUUUAAUUUGCGUACAUGAUUUUUUAAUAUUUUGGACCAGUGAAUUUUUUUAGACAUUUUUUAAAAGGAUUAAUAUAUGAAAACUAUCAAUGUUGCGAAAUUGGUUUAUUAUAUUAUCUACAUGUUGGCAUGGUCAUUAGGGAUUGGCCCCGAUUACACAUCGAACUACCCGAAAAAUUGCCGUUUGGUUGCUACUCGGGUAGCUACUUUUCAAGCGGUCGGUAACGGUUCCGUUGGGCGCGGGGCAGAUCCCAAAUAGUCAUAGACCCCUGGUUCAUUAUUAUGGCUAUUUUAUUGAAUUGGCCCACUUUGAGAUGGCCUGGCGCAUUAGUUGCGGUGUUGUAUCUUUGAGGUCCUUCCAUGUUUGUGUAGUGUAAUCUAAUCAAAAUUUUAUAUAUGUUAAUUAAUGAUAUUGAUCAAAAUAAUAAUUUUUUUGUUACUACCGAAUAUUUCUUCUAUUAUUUUAGGAUCCAUGGGUUCCCUCUUUACAGUUCCAGUCUUACCACCUUUGCCAGAUUUCUUGUGUGCUAAAUUUUCAGAUUAUAUUGUUAUUACAGUGCCGGUCCAGUUAUAGAACCGCCUAGCUAUGGAACCGGCUCGGUUAUCGAACCGAUUUUUCUUUGCCGUGUUUCAGCGCCACCGUUGGCCGUAUUAUGAACUAUAUCGA